ACGACGGAGGUUUUUUCCCCUCUUCCAAAACCUAAAGUCGCAAGAAGUUACUAAAUCAUAUUGUGUGAGCUGCCUCCUGAACACCCUAUCUCUAACAUUAGACCUCUACGAGAUUCACUCAAUCUUCUCUUCAGAUUGUCUAAGAUUUUGCUUGUUUAUAAUGGCUGUCAUAGAAAAUAAA
Molecule: long non-coding RNA, 181 nt
Organism: Quercus lobata
Lineage: Eukaryota; Viridiplantae; Streptophyta; Magnoliopsida; Fagales; Fagaceae
Exons: 3
Source: RefSeq, a predicted model, not a curated record